Molecule: unclassified non-coding RNA, 1708 nt
Filed under: Rhagoletis pomonella (apple maggot)
Lineage: Eukaryota; Metazoa; Arthropoda; Insecta; Diptera; Tephritidae
Description: uncharacterized LOC118748501, transcript variant X2
Source: RNAcentral
AUUCUACUUUGCAUUACCGGCAAUGCCUAAAAGAAGCGAAAAAAAUUCGAAGGCAUUAUAACGCUAUGCCCUCUAAAACACGUUAUCAUUAAAAGCGACUACCGAUUUUUUGCUGGGAAUCCUUAAACUUUGGGAGAUAAGUACAUGCGGCACAAAUAGCCCUGCCAGAUAGAGCACGUUACGUGCGUUCCGCUCAAGGAUGAAACUGACAGUUGAGUAGACUGUGUGUGCUUGCAUAGAGAGCGCCAGAUUGGCAACCCUUGCGUUGACGGAACCCACGAACGUUGGCCAACACAACUUUUGACGCAAAAGCGGCGCAAAUUCACCCUUGCUUAUAUGAUAAAAGCAUAGGGGCUUAUAGAAACCGGUUGGCGAAAGAAAAAGCCUGGAAUUAUGUGGCGGGCGCUACAGGUUGCAGUGGAAAGUGGUGAUUGAAUAAUCUUGUGAGUGUUUUCCAAUGUUUUUAAAAAUUAAUCCGCAGUGGAACAGCGUCAGAGUCGGUGGACCGAUUUGUGAAGGAAGAAAGUGGAAGAAAGGCGCCUUCUGCGAGUGCUGCAAACGACAUGGUCAGUAAUGGAUGGAAAUAUUACGAGGCACUGGCAUUCCUGCAACGGCACGUGUCACCACGCAAGUAAUUUAUGCAACCAUUGCUAUCAUUGAAUCCACUGUAGUCAGAUCUUUCGUGAAAUCUUCAAAAAGCUAUCACUGAAUUCGGAUACAUAUGUAUGUACAUACUUACAUAGCUACGAACGUAGCAUAUACUUUGAAAGCAUACGUUCCAAGGAAUUGAUAUUCAGUGAUUACAUUUUCGUAGUUUCACAAAAAUCGGACUGCGAUGGUUACAGUGAUAGUCCCGAAUACCUAAUAGAGUAUAACGGAGUUACACCGCAUGAUCGCCUUAAGUAAUAGACAUAUUUUGGAAUUUUAAAAAUUUUUUAGAAACAAAAUUUAAUUCCAGCUGUCGCUAACUGUGUUGUAACACCUUAAAUAGUCUUCAUGUGACUACAAGGUUUUGUUUGUACAUAUAUUAUUUAAGGACAUUUGGCAACGCAACGUUUGGUACCACCAUAGAUCGUGAAAAAUGCGCACCGCAGCCAGAGCAUUCCAUUAAUGUAUAUGAGUUGCAACCUCUUUUCGAAUAUUGCGAGGAUGAAGAGCCCGUAUUUGAGCAGACGCAGCAGACAGGGCUAACUACAGUGGUUCACCAAUCACCGUCAACGUCUCUUGUUGACUUCCAACCCUAAAAAGAGCCAAUUGUGUCCACUUCUAGAGCAUUGAAUCGGAAAAAAGAUGAGGAGCGAUUGGACACCCUAUGUGGAGCCGUAAGCGACUGGAUAAAAAAAAUCAGAUGCUGCUCCACAACCAGUUAGCCGUAACUCCGAUUUUUUAAAUGUUCUGGACAAAUAUCUUCUGAAAUAUGAAGAAGAUGUUCAAGACAGAAUGAAAAUUGGAAUACUGAAUUUUGUUUUUAAUGGCGGGCAAUUUGUUGUCAUGUAAAAACCGUAUUUUACUUUUAUUUCUAUUAAUUUAUUUAAUCAUUUUAAUUGAAUUUGUUUUUAAUGGAAUACAAUUUGUUGUCUUUAUUUCAUUUUUUAUUUUAAUUCUUUUUUUACAUAAACUGAAUAGAAAGUACAAAAUGAAUGUUAUGAAAUGAACUGAUGUAAAAAUUCAAAAUAAUUUAUUGUUAUACGUUUUGUAUAUACAGUGG